UUUUGUUUUUUUUUGGGUUUUUUUUUUUUUUUUUUUUUUAUUUUUCUUAUAAGGAUUGUUUCAUCCAACUUAAUUGCAGAAAAUCUUCCUUCAGAAAAAAGCCUCAGUUUCCAUUAUUUCAUUCUGGAAAGAAAAAUCAAACUAAAUCUCGUGUAAAAGAUUGUCUUGACUUUUCCCCACUCUUUCCACUCCCAGUCUCUUUGAAACAUCAGAAUAAUUUUCUUCUUGCAAACAGCAUGGGCUAAUAAAGUUAAAGUCUAUUUCCAUUUUUAUAAGUGUUCUAAACUUGUUCAGUGUAAUAGCUUUACAGUGUGAGCCCUUGACUAGCAAAAUAUGAGGUAUAAUCUCAUGUUUUCAUCAAGAUAGUAGUGAUUUUCUUCUAAGAGCACUGAAAACUGUGAUCUGAGGAAAGAAAAGGAAAAAAGAAGUGCUUGUGGUUUCUCUGGUCACAGGAAGAAGACUGGGAAUUUCCAAUUCAGCUCCUAUUAAAAAAAAUUCAGUGAGUAUGAAAGCUUUAACUGGCCAUUUAGUUGAAGAAUAGGUUAUGUUUAAAUGGCACAGUGUACUGACAGAUCAAUAAAAUUCUGAGUCACUAGAUGGAGAAUAAUGAACAAUUUAAGCUCUUUGAAAUGGAAUUGGUCACUCCUGCUUGAAAAGGGUUUUUAAGUUGUUCCACUAGCAGUGGAAAUGAAUCUACUGUGUUAUAAAUACAUUUACUACAUUCCUUCUCCCUCAUAGCUGUUAUUCCUAAUGAAAUACAAAAAUAACAAUAACUAGUAAUUAUAAUUGAUUAUUCAACAAAUUUGUAAAUUACCUAGUUUCCCUUUCUAUAUAUCCCUCUGGAAGAAGAGAUAGUCUGUGGUAUGUGUGGUUUUGGAUUUUGCACACAUUUGCUGGAUGGGUAGGAAGUACAAACCAAAUAGCCAGGUUAAUAGAGGAUUUCUAUCAUCUUUUAUUGGGAAAUCUAGAUGGAAGAUGUGUGGAUAAAUGGAGUAAAGGGAAGGACUUAAUCACUCAUGGACUCUUCUGAAUGUGCAGGGGUGACCCAAUAUUUCUGCAGCACACAUCCUUUGCCUAUCAUGGCUUUAUCCUCAUACCAGCUUUGUGGUAGAAAGAAAAGUAGCAGCCAUAAUUAAAAAGAAGGUGACCUUUCACAUCACCAGGUCUUGCAAGGGAAACUUACCAAAGGAGUGAUAAAGUUACUGCAGGUAACUUUAUAAAACAUUCAAAUAUAGAGAUCAAGUUCCAGCAGGUCCCAUGGCAUGAGCAGAAAACUUUAUGGCAAACAUCCAUCUGCCAUUUAGAUGUGUCCUGAUGUGCCAUGUGCCAGGCAGUUGUAAUUGCAUUAGUUCAAGUUAUGUCAUGUCUGGACUUGGAGCUGUUGCCUUUAGUUGUUUUUCUGGGCAACUAGCUCACUCCAUGUCCUUCCUUCCGGGACUAUGGAGAGCGGCUGUUUCAUCUACGCUGCUAUGGCAAAGAAAGCGCCUCAAGCACCGAGGGCCUUGUGAAACUCCUGAUUGUGCACACAGCUUAACUGCUUUCUCACUCCAUUUCAAACUGAGACAGGGUCACACAAGUGGUUUAGGGUGGAAUCUCCUUGAGGUCAUUGUUGAUGGAAAACUAAAUAAGAGUUAGCAGUGCCCUGGCAGCCAGGAAGGCCAACACUGUCCUGGGGUGCAUCAGGCAGAGCAUCACCAGCCAGGCAAGGGAGGGGAUUGUCCCCUUUGAUCUGCACUGGGGCAGCCUCACCUUGAAUAUUGUGUACAGUUUAGGGUGCAGCCAUAUAAAAAAGACAUUAAAUUAUUACAGAGUGCUCAAAGGAUGGCCAUGAGGAUGGUGAAGGGCCUUGAGGGGAAGCUGUAUGAGGAGUCACUGAGGUCAAUUGGUCUGUUCAGCCUGGAGAAAGGGAGACUGAGGGGAGACUUCAUUGCAAUUACAACUUGUGAGGGGAAGAGGAGGGGCAGACACUGAUCUCCUCUCUGUGGUGCCCAGUGACAGAACUCGAGAAAAUUACCUGAAGCUGUGUCAAGGGAGGUUUAUGUUGGUUAUUAAAAUGUUCUUCACCCAGAGGGUUGCUGCACUGGAACAGGCUCCAAGUUGGUUGCAGCACCAGCCUGAUAAAGUUCAAGAAACAUUUGGACAAUGCUCUCAGGCACAUGGUGUGACUCUUCAGGAUGGUGCUGUACAGGACCAGGGGUUGAACUCAAUGAUCAUGAUUGGUUCCUUCCAAAUCAGCAUAUUCUAUGAUUCUAUGAUCUGGUCCAACCUCUCUACUCAUAUAAAGUCACCUAGAACAAACCGGCCAGGGAAAUGCCCAGACAGGUUUGGAAUAUCUUCAAGGAAACUCCAGAAUCACUCUAGACCACCUGUUCCAGUGUUUGAUCAACUUCAGAGUGAAAAAGACUUUUUUAUUGCUUUCAAAUGGAAUUUCAGGUGUGUUAACCUCUGCCCAUUGAAACAUGUCUUAUCACUGAGCACCACUGAGAAGAGUCUGGCUUCCUUUUCUUCAUCAAUGUAGCAAUAGAUACUUUUAUCACAUUUGAUAACAUCCACGUCCCCCUGCCUCCAAGCUUUUUCCUUUCCAGCCUAGAGUCCCAGCUCUCUCAGACUACUCUUUUACUCAUUAUCUGAUUGCUAGGUGCAUGCUCUAAUUGCUAGGUACAUCCAUUGUAGUGCAGUUUUGUUCUGUAACCUUUAUUGUGUCAUUGAUGUUUUUAAAGACAUUCAGUUUCCAAGUCAUACAGGUGUAAUGGAAGAAAACUAUUCCUCUAUGUAUUCUUAGGACUUCUAUGGCAGUUUCAGCUGCCUGCAACUUUAUUGGGUAGAGUCAUGUACAUAUUUAUAGCAAAACAUCAUAAAUGAAAUUGUCUUUUUGAAUGCUUAGUUUUCGGUAGGUCAGGCACAAACCACUGAUUUGCACUUUAGCCUCUCCUGAUACUUGAGAACUAUAGUAACACAGCCUGUGAAGUCACCUGUGGACAAGAAGGAUUGAGGUUCCUACACUAAAUUUUGUUUCUAUUCAACUAUCUUUUUGUUGUAUCUAAACCCCAGCUUUGAAAUGGAAGGGUUACACUCUUAUAUCUGUUCCUCCUCUGUUCAGUCAGGCAGGCCAUGGUGAUCCUGACCUUACUGCAGUCCAUUUUCUCAUCCCAAUAUAGUAUUCUUAUUUGAUGGAGUUUCUAUUUUGUUUAUUAUGAAAUGUUAAUUUUGUUUAGCAGAAUAUUGCUGUCUCCUUCCAAAACUCUUCAGAUUCCCUGGUUAUGGUCCUCAAUUGUCUUUCCUCAGGAAAAAAAAGACUAUUUACUUAGAUCUUGGCAGUUGUCUUAACCAUCACAAUGUUUACUUUAUUUUCAGUACAAAAAACUUGUUACCAGAUACAACCCAGAUGGUGGCUUAUUUUUCCAAAAGAUAACAUGUAAUAUAGACAAACAUGCUGUGAUGUCUCUGAGGACAGAAAAAUAUUUUACAUCAAUGAUGUGUCUCAAAAAUUUUACUUUGUGGAGAUCAUAUUAUCUUUUUUUACAUUUGUGGGUUGUUCUGUGUCUAUACAAGUGAAUACAUCAAUCUUUCCUCUCUACAACGGCCCAUUUUUUUGGUCUUUACCUGGGGUCUGAUUUGAAAUGAAAUUAAUCAUCCUCUGAUUUUACACAAAGGCAACUUUGCAAUAAGUAAUCUAAAAAUUCAGGUUUGAUCAUAUGCUGUUGGGAUUUUAGUUUAACACUGAACAGGGGAGAGCUUUCUCUCAUAGUGUAACGAAUGAUAUUGAUCUCCAAAUAUAUUGCUCACAUCCAUUGUAUACAUUCUCCUUAUGGGUAUAAAGCCAGCUUUGAAGCAUGUCUGACUUUUAGUUUUCAUUUCUUUAGCCUGGAUAUUGCUUACAGCAUUAGUGCUGUUGUUUCUGACCUUGUAUUAGCCUGUGUAUCUGUUCAGUUUAAAAUUAAUGAUAUUCCCCUGGCUCUCAAGAUCUACUGAUGUUCUGUGACAUAAGCAAAUACUCUACUUAAGAGAGGUCAUUUAAGGUAGUCCUUUUGUUGCCAUCCUUCUUGUCUAAACAAUGGAAGUCCUGCUGGCAUUUGGACAGUUUUGCAAAGUAAUGCUGUGCACUGCAAUCCUAGCUUUUCUUUAAAGUGCCAAGGAUUUUCUGGGCUUAUUGGUCAGAGUGCGUUUAGCAUGUAGCGUUUUAGGGAUCUAUGCUAACACAAGGUGCUCAGAAGUAACUUAGUGACAUAUGGAAAGUGAACAUGGCCUUCUGCAGAGAGGCUAAAGCUCAAUAGCAUUUCUGGGUGCACACUGAUCACAGCAUUUGUAGCCUGUGGCACCGGGCAUAGGCACCAGUCUCUGACAAUAAUGUGUUUCACAGUGUUGUUCAUUUAUCUACCAUGUGUGCUGGCAAAAGGCUGGCAGCCUUCAGGCUCAGCUUCUCAGCAAUCCACUUGGUACCUUAGGCAAGCGAAAAGAGAGGAACAGACAAAUUUUGGGUGCAAACUUUCACAGUCAGCAGGUUCUGAAAUCCGUGUCUGCUUCUUCACAACUUUGUCAGUGUCAUACAAUUUCUGCAAAAUGUUUCACUUUUGAUCAAUCACCUGUCUCCAUCCAAAAGAGCUCCAUUAACAGACUUGUGUCAAGGCACAUGUAUGGUUGUAAUUCAGAGUCCUACACAUACAAUAGGAUUUUUUUAAGGCAGGGUUUUCUAGAAACAUAGAAUGAAAGUCCAUUUCUGUCUCACAAAUAUGGCAAAAGACUUCUGACCUUGGAGUUUAAAACAGACUACAUGUAAAGAAGAUAAACAAUCCCACAAUAUAUUGUUGUAAUGUUAAUCUGUGGGAUGAAUUUACCUAUGGAUUUUUGGGUAUAUCUACACUUAUAUUUUAAUUUUUCAUUUUGAAGCAAUAUUUUAAUUUAAGCAAAGCCUUAAAUUAAACAAACCAAAAGACAAAGAUAGAAAAAAAGGAUUUAAAAUUAUUUAAACCAUCAAAAUACCUUUCAUUUGGAAUUGAAAUGUUUUAUGUUAAUCCAAAAAUCUGUUUUCAAAAUCCUGGUUGUUAUUUUACCAAAAAAAAAAAAAAAAAGUCUUAACUUGAUUACUUAUUUCUUUUGGAACUGUUCUCACUUUUCAAUUCUCUGUUUUUUUUUAUUAUUCUACUAAACAAAAAUAUGAAUAUUCAUAUGGUUCUUUUCUGAGAUUUUAUUUCUCUGUGUAUGUUCCAGUCCUAACCAGAAAAAGCUGAGAUUGCAGCUUUCACUAGGAAAAUGCUAGUAGUACAAAAAGUUACUAGGAAAUCCUUUUUUAGUUAUUAUGUGAAGCCAUUAAAAGAAAACUGAAAGCCAUUAAGACAAAAAAAAAAAAACUAUCCAGCAAUUAAAACAAGUUCUUCUUCUCUUUUAUGACAAUAUAUUUUCCUAAGGAUGUCUUCCUUUUCAGAACAAUUCAUAUUGAUAACUCCCUCUUUUGCACACCAAAAGUGUUAACAGGGAUAUACUGUUCAUUUUCAAUUCCAGAUGUCAAAGCAUUUGUUGCUUCUCUUUCCAGUCUUAAGAAAUGUUUCUAUACUUAAAGGCUUGUCUACAUCAGUAACAGAUAUUAACACUGCCUUAAAUAAUGCCAUACCUGUACUUUUUUGUAUUAACAUUACAAUAAAAUACUACUUGAGAGAGAGAGAUUUUCUAGACAGUAUUUUGGAGAGCCUCUCUAGUUUUCUCCACUGAUUUUAGGGAGAUUCAAAGGACACUAAUCUCUAAUUCAGCACUUCAUUAUGUAACUUAAAACUCAUCUGUCCGAAAUAUAUACUUAAGUCUUAAUCCUUGCUGCAUCACCAGGUCUAAAGAUUUGUGCAUCACACGGUGAGAAUGUCAGUACAGAAAAAUCUGCACUGUAGAAGUCACAACACAGCAUUGAUUUCAAUUCAGUCUUUAUUACAGAAUAUCCUUCCACAGAAAGAAUUAUAAAUACCUGAGCUUUAUCUAAGGACUCCUUAUCACCAUUGGCCCUAGUGGGAGGAUGCCUCAGCCUCUGGGGACCAGCAGUCUCAUGCCAUUGUGUUGGAGCUUCCAGGCAUAUGGUGAAAUCAGGGAAUGCCAUCCAACAUGCACCAUGUAAUUAGUUACAGUCACCAAGAAAUCAUUUUCUUGCAAUAUUUUGUACAGACUCUCUAGAAAGUCAACGCCCUGAAAUUUCCUCUGUGGCAAUUCUGGAAAAGUGUGCAAUCUUUCAGGGGCUCUGUGUGUUUUUGGUUUCUCUGGUGCCUGUCUGAGUGCUUUGUGAAGGCAAGGAAAACUCUAAUAGGAAAGGCUGCAGAAGUUAACAGGAAAGGUGAGACAAUGGCACAGAUAAGAGCAUCAGGUUCUCAGCUUCAAAGGAGUUCAGAUAACAAUGGCUAGGACACCAAGUGAUGGGAAGCAUUUGCCUGUCUGGCUCCAUCCUUUCUGGGAUCAAAAGACAUGGAAAAAACCUCAAAGACCCUUGAAAAGGGAGGGGAUUCAGAAGAGUGCCCAGAUCGUGUCAAAGAAAAAGCACUGUUGGGCUCCCUUCUCACACGUUAAAGAGAGAGGCCACUUUUGACAGAGAAAUUGGGAGUAAAGGAGGGCUUCCUUUUGAAAGAGUGGAGAAAACUUGGUAAAUAAUACGUGUGUUAAUAUGCAACAUAAUUUAAAAAAUAAUUUUCCCAGUAUUGCAUUCCUUCUGGUGAAGAAAUAAAUGGGUUUUUUUCUAUUACAAAUGUUUUCCUUAUUACUGUAGAAGAUAUUCAGACUCCAAGAAGAGACCUUCUAGAAAGACUAAUUAUAUCUGUCUCCUAUUUAUAGCUAAGAGAGGAUAAAAUGUUGGAGGAUGUGUUUUGGAUACUUCUUUGAGAAUGGGCUCAAUGAAGCCAGUCACUCUGAGUGUGCAUUCAUAAAAGAGGUUUUUGACAACUGGACGGACAAACCUCUGUCAGGACCACCAAGCAUUUGCCCUGCAUAAUCUACCCCAUCUGCAAGAAGAAACUGAUCUUAUAGAGCUCCCUGUAUCACUGUUUUCUAAGGCUUCAUCUGGACUGAUAAUUUAGAUCUGCCAAGGCUCAUUUUCUGACAUGACUCCAGCUAGUAUAGAGCAAUGUGUAUUUAGAGUAUUUAGGUGCCUUGGCCACCCAAGAUGAGGCAGCCAACUCCACCCCACUCAAGAUGGACAUUGGCCUGUGCCAACUGCCAAGUCAUGCCUACAAUUUAUUCAGGAAACUGCUAAUUGAUAUCGUCCAAAGAUGUGUGGAGUCCCUUCCAGCAUUUGAACAACACUGAUGUUCAAGACAAAUUGCUCAGGAACGUUCCCUGACCCAGUUUAACUUGCUGGUUUCACUAUAAUUUGUAAUUCUGUAGCCAAGUCUGUCCACAUGCUCAUCAGAACUGUUCUCAAGUUGAAAAAUGAAAUAAACUUUAAUGUUCUCUACACCUGAAAACAAGAAGUCUUUUAUUACUUGUUCUACCUGGUGAAGAUUCUCUGUAGCUCUCCUAGUUAGACUCCUAUCCUUUUUUUCUCAGUAGAGGGCAUCCUUAGUUCAGUCACUUCAGCAGCCUGUAUCCAUACAGCAAAGAGUGGGGGAAAACUUCCUAUUGACUCCAAAGCAGACUAAAUUGACAACAACAAGUAAACACUUGGUACAGGCACAUAUUUAUGAGAAACACUGUCUUCUGGAACAAUCUGGGCCAGUAUUCUCUUGAACAGACUUUCUCCUCUUCACCCUAACAGGUGAAAAAAAAAAAUAGAAAGGUAUAUAGGGACUGGAACACUAAAAAACAUUUGUGAAAAUUUCUUCCUUAUCUUUUUAUGGGGGGUAGAGAAAAAUAACCAAUUUGAGCAUAGAGUCAAGAUAGCAUAUUUAUAUUUUUGUCAGAAGAAGGAGGGGAGACUUCUCUAUUUACUUCAAUUAAAGGUCUCCACAAACUCUUUUUUUCCCCCCUAGCUUUGAGAUCUUGGCAGGCUUUAUGUUUUUUAAAAAAAUCCAGCAUGCUCACUAGGCAAAUUUUCCCAUGCUUUCAAAGCUCUACUGCUUAGGCAAUCAGAUGUUAAUCCAACCACAGUCUAGCUUUUGCUUUCUUCCCAACAGCUUGAUAUCUCUUGCCAUUACUGCUAUACCCUCAGAUGUAGAAUAGACAGUGAUGUCGCUGUCCAGCACAUAAGUGGUAACGAACUGCAGCAUAAAUAAUGAAUUGAUAACAUGCAUGUGUUCCUCACCCCCAGAGCAUGUGCAGGGCUAAGCCAGCUGCAAAUAAUUUAUUCAACGCACCAGAGCUAUACUAAAUCAAGCCAAACAAUAUUGCCUUUUUUUUUUUUUUUUUAUAAGGGUGAAGUAUUUCCCACAAAGCUGGUAACUCAUAUAUGUUAACUUAUAAUCUCUAUAACUCAAAUGUUUUGCUUCAUAACACUCUGCCAGAAGUAAACAUCAACACAAUAGAAGGCAGCCUCUAACUUAACUGUGAGAGUCAGCAUGCAAAUGAAAUGAAGAAGGCACCUCUAAGGAAAGACAGAGCAUAAAAGUGAAAGUCUAAAGAGUUAAGUGAUCUUGGCCUUUAAACAAUUUUUCACUGAGUCUGAUCAGCAAAGAGUUACCACCCUAAAUAUUUUUAAAAGCAGGCCAAUGUAAAACUUGAAUUACAGCCCUUAAAUCUACCUGAUCUGUAUUGUUCUUUAUUGGUGGCCUUUACUGAUAAAUGUAAUGUUUACUUAAGAUCUCUGAUAUCAGCAAAAAAAAAAAAAAGAGGAAGUUUUAAAAAAAAAAAUAUUAAAAAUGUUUUAGCAAGCAUCUUCAUUAUAAAGGAGGUUUAUAACAUUUCUUUAUUAACAGCUAAAUUUGAAUGACAAUAAUUUUGCUAUGAUUUUUUUUUUUUUGAUAAACUGGAAACAGCAUACAGUGAUCACUACCACAUGUAUUUAGACUUGGGUUGGCUAGACUUGUAUUCUCCCAGGGAAUCUGGGUACUUCAACUGGAUUUCAUUUUUUAAAAUUUAUAUCUCACUGAGAAAUUUCCAGCUUAGCUUCCAAUCUAUUUAUUCACAAGAAUUUUUAGGGUUUCCACUAACUGUUGCAGAUGUUCUUUGCUGGCCUGGGUUCCGCAGUCUUGGAACAAGCUCUCGGGAGAGAAAAGGCCUAUUUUACAGGAUCAGACUGUUUAUUCACACUGAAGUCAAAAAGACUGGCUGUAUCACAUUGCAAACAACAGCAAAUUAUCUGAACAGAUAGAUUCCUUUUCAUUACAAGGAUAAAUGUGCACGUACACACACAUGCACACACAGACACACAGUCACAUGCACACAUAUGCAUGAACUGUUCGGGAGUACAUCUGAAGAAAAAAAAAAAAGAGGGAGGGAUGAGGUUAACAAAAGUUAAUGGAAGAAAAAUAACCCCCUUGGGCUUAGUGCUACUCCUGUCAUAGAGUAAUAAAGGGGUUUUGUUUGUUUUGUUUUGUACUGUUUCCCCCCCCUCCCCCCCCAACGAUGAAAACAGAUGACUGAGGCCUGAUUCUGUUUUCACCAAAACUAUUGUAAAAUCCAGAACUGGAAGUCGAGAAAAAAGGAGUAUUUGUUGGUGCUUGCCCAGAGAGGAGCUUGAAAGUUUAGGGCCUAAAACAGUAGUGUGACAUUAAUGUCAGAAUGUUUGUACUUCUUUAUUUAUGAAAGAAGUGCCCAUGUCUUUUUAGGUGCAGAAGUUAGAUGGAUGCAGUGGUAACAAAGGACCUAGUUUCUCAGAGAUUCUUAAGAGCUGCCAGAUAAAAUUAGGGUUUCAUGAAAGGCUGAGAGAGUGCAGACGCUCAUAAAUAACGAUGCUGUCCUCCUUCCUUCAACAGCACUGCAGUGGGCUCUUCUGGCAGCAGGCACUGUGUUAACACUUUUAAUACACUUUAAAAAUUAGGUUUAUAUUUUAAUGAAACAUCCAUGUCUGUUUUGAAAGAUAUUUUCAUUUUUAAGAAACUCAGAAGUUAUUUUUGUUCAAACAAUAUAGCUAUCUCAUCUUCCUCAUCCAGAAUGUGGAAUUUCUCCCUUGAAAAUUCAUAAAGAACUGCAAAAAACACAUAGCCGUGAACAUCGCUGGAGCCACGCUGUCUCCCAGCAGUACAUCUCUGGAUGUCAAAUAUACCCGAGGUUGCAUCUUUCUCAGUGAGAAACGAAGAAGUGGGGGAUCACAGUUUGUUACUUGUUAUAUUUACAGCAGAGGCUAUCCUGUAUCAUGCAGGCUCUCUCCCAGUGGACAGCAGGGAGCUGAAAGUGAAGAAAGGUGAUCCAAUGGAUUCCCCUCUAAGCCUUCAUCACAGACCAGAAAUAAUCCAAAUAUUUUUUAUAAACAUGAAGGCUUCAUUACAUUUAAAAUCAUGACAAAAUACAUACUUGUUUCAAGGUGCAAAACUAACUGCUAUAUGGCAAUAUUUUGUGCCUUAGAAAACAAGUGUUUGCACAGGCCUAGACAUUGUUACAUGAGUCAGAUAAUUCAAAACAGCUCAGUGUAAAUGAGAGUCAGGGGAAAACCUCUCACCAGGUUUGUUUCUUACUCCUUGUCUGUUAGAAAAAGAACUAUUCCACUGAACCUUUUAAAAGUAGAUUUAAAAAUGAAAGCAUGAGGACAAAUCAUCAACCUCCCCCUCCCCCAAAAAAACUACAAGCGCUAAGCAAGAAAAUAAUAUUUAUCUAGAAUCACUCUUCUAUGGGAAGCAAAAAAUUACACAAAAAAAGCCUAAAUUACAACAAUAGCAAGCCUUUUCUGACUCUGGAGUGAUGGCAUCCUCCAUGCCUUUUGGUUUUGUUUCAGAAGAAAAUCCACCUUCCAGUCAUUCAGCCCCAGAAGCUCCUUGGAACAAGUGGUCUCUAAGCUCCAGGGGGAACCAGGAGGCUGAAAGGGAAAAGGUCCCAACUGCAUCCUAACACAGCCCAAGAAAAUACAUCAUUAUUUGUGUUUCUUUCUUUGAAAUUCAGCCUCUUUUAUAGCUAAGGUGAUACAGACUGGUGUUCCAUUUAUUUCAAAUGGUCCCUGUUUCUGUGGUAAUAAUUUAGAUCUAGUAGCUGAAUCUCUGAACAGUCUGCUUGACUUCUCAAAGAGAGAUGAAAAUCCAGCCUGGAAAUCAAUGGGAACUUUUCUGGUAGUUCUGGGUAAUUGAGAUAAAUGUUCUUAUUAUUCUUUUCUUUAUCUUGCAGCCAGGCAGUCUUCCUGCAGGAACUGAGGGAAAAUAAAAAAGCAAUUUAUAAAAGCCAGCCUCAGAACUAAAUCUUACUGUGUAAUAUAAUCUCUCCUUGGGAGUUUUUCCCUUGACCAGGCUAUAUUGCUGCCAGUUUCAUGACUCCAAAGUUGGUGAAUCACAUCUUGAUUUGUAGCAGAACUGAGUCACGUGCAUUAUCACAAAUUGCACUUGCCUUUCCCAUUGCUACUGUGGGUAAGUAUUGCCAAUUCCAUUAGCGUGGCUAACAGUUCUAAUUUGCUUCUGGUUUACAUUGGCUGCAGGAAAAGCAAAUACAGUAACCCUUCACUUUAGGUGGUACCAGUAGAACUAGGUUUGUCAUGCCACAGAGCAGCCAAAAGAAAUACAGUAAUUUCUGGGAAACAGAUUUGUUUACGUGUUAUAUUCUUUUUAGUGCUAUGCUGUCAUAGCUGUAGACAGGUUUAACAGGCUUGGAUACAAAAGAUCUGGAUGAGAACUAUAAAAGAAGCAGGGGAAAGUGGAACAAAAUUAGGGAAAUACUGGAAGUAGCAGAGAAUACCAACAAUGGAUCCUUACUGAAAUGCAAAUUCUCUUGAGACAAGAGAACAGUGAAGAUAAAAACAUUGGUAACAUAAAAGAAGGAACUGAAUGUGGUCAAAUUCAGGCCCUCUAACUUAAAAAACAAACAGCAGAAAAGUGGUGAUAAGUAGCUGCAUUCUGGUUUCUCCAUUUGUGUGGACAUGUUCUCUGCAAACAACCAAAUCUCUUGGGAUCUACAAAACCCAUAACUGGGCUCCUCACUUUCCUUGUCACUUCUAUGUCUAGGACUUUUGUCCCUGUUAUACCUAAGCAAUAAUUAUGAUAACAAAAAAUACCUACAAUGUAUACAUGCUAAUGUAUUAACAUAGUUUAAUUUGUCAUGACUGGAAAUGGAAAGUACCAGACAAAUCUUUUACAACAUUGAUGAAAGAAAGUCACAGGAGGGCCAAGUGUUUCCAGAGCAUUCUUGUGUGAUGUUAAUCAAAAUGUUGAUUUCCAUAAGGAAGAGAGCAGGUGACUGACCUUAAGACACAUACAACAUUAGAUAAGCAUUGAAAGUUGCUGGGCCUUAUCAAUCUCAGAAGAUGUCACAAAAAUUGUAAUCUUGAGAAAGGGGUUAUGGGGAAGGCAAAAGCAUUUAAAGUUUGAUAAAUAAGCAUAUAUGUUUUUAAAAUUUGUCCCAAAUACCCCCAAGUUUCAACAUAGACUGAAUUAGUAAAUCUGCAGUGUACACUGAAGAAGUGUUAAAGCAAAACUAUGUUCAUCAUUCAUUGACAAACUGGCAGAAGAAAUUAAUCGCAUGAACUUUCCUUCAGUAAUUUCAAGGGGUGUAGAGAAAGCUCUCAGAACAAUUCAAAUAUCAGAAUUUAGGAGUACCAAGUGAAAGGAGACAAUUACAGCUGAUUUUUUUGAGCUAUUGCCCAAUGGCAAAAUAUCUUUUCUCUUUGAGCAACACAUAUUCCAGAUAUCUGCUGCUGGCACUUUGUCAUCUACUUCAUUGGAUGCUGUGCUUCCUGUUUUGGAUCCUAUACUAAGCACAUGUGGAAACUAACUUUUAUCAAAACUGACAGCCACUAUUUGAUAGACUAAUUUCUAAAAAAUGUGUGGAACUUUUUGGGCUUAAACACAAGGAAAUUCAAACCCAACUGGACACCCUCCACUGACCUUUAUGUGAAAAACCUCUGCUUGAAAAUUAUUAGGAGCAUUCCGGUAGAAAUAUCUCUAAAUCAGUUUUGAGACAUAACAAUUCCAUAGCUUGUCUCAUUAUGGCAAAAUUGUCUGGAAAGUUUGAUUUCUUGAAGGCAAGUAGAGAUGACUUUCCCAGCUAUCAAGCAGAGGAAGCCUGAUUGUGACAUCUCCAUAAAUGCUCAGGUCACAGCUGCCAAUUGAAAUGCCAAGAAAUGCACUGUAAAAGAGGGGUGACAAAAACUGCUGUUGGAAACCGGGAUCAGUGUCUGGCUGGGAGAAUAUGAAUUCUAAAAAGACAUGCCUCUGUUUCUACACAAUUUCCAGCCACAAGAAGGGAACCUGGAAUUUAAAGCAAACCUCCACCUUUCAAUCAAUUCAUCAAUUUCCAAAGCAGAGAUGUAGUCUGUAUUGAAUUUUACUGGAUGGCUUACAGAUUUUCAGAAAGGAUUUAUUUCUAAAUUAAUUUCCACAGAAUAUUUCUCUACACCUAUAUUAGCUUCAUCUCUCUUGUAUUUUAUGGGAUCUUUCACAUUGAUGAGGAAAAGUCCUUUUUUACCUGAAACAAGGGAAACUUGCCCAUUUAAAAGCCAUGGGCUGAGGAUACAUGUCUGUGGCACAGUUCACAUACUGGAAGCCACUCUGGAUAUUCUUGAUGGGUUAUGGGAAGCAUUAUGGCUGUAUUAAUACAGGACUUUACCCAGACUAAUAAUUUGCUUCUCAGUUGAGAUAUUAGCCUAGAGAAAGUGUUUAUCGAUGCAAAGAGUAUUUUGAUCCACAGUAACCUAUUUAGAUUUCAUUUGUCCUUUUUGGGACAUCACAUCCUGUUAAGCAGACUCUCCAAAAGUGGCUGGAAGGAAAAAAAACUUUUGUGUGAGAGGUGAGUCAUCUGAUAUAAAUUAAAUUUACUGCAUCCCCUGUGGAAGGUAUCAACAAAUGGGAAAGCCAAUGCAAUUAUUUACCAUUGAUCCUGACUGUGGUGAUUAUCUUGCAAGAAGAAGGCAGAUUAAUGUGCAGUGAGAAGGAGAAAAGUGUUUCUAGUCUGGUUGAGCAGGUUAGCCACAGGCCUAGUGAUCUGAUCUAAGGCACUUGAGCUGAAGUUUUCAAAUGCUUCUGCCUUCCCACUUGUGCACUUUAUCACAGUGAGAAGCUAGUUUUCCAAAGCACAUAUGAAACUGAUCCCAGGCUAUGCCUGAAAAUUUACAAGUAAAGGUUUAGAACUUCCUGGAAUGUACCUAAAAUGAACAUUGUGUACCAUAAUUCACUCCACUUUGUGGUGACUUUUGCUAUUCUGAGGGUAGUUUCCCCAUAUCAUACAGCCUAUUAUUUCCAAUAAUAACAAGAGAUUUUUUUUAUUUUUGGUUACAAGUGCCUGGCUGUUUUAUCUGUACAAUGAUAGCUGCAAUUUCAAUUUUAAAAAUCGCCCCCUUUGCAAGAGCCAGUAAUUUUGUUCACCACAUGUGUCUGGAUUCCUUUACAUUAUCCUAACACACACACAAUUGUCAAGCUAGACUUUGACAAUGAAAUUAGUGUCAUGG
Molecule: long non-coding RNA, 14419 nt
Organism: Taeniopygia guttata (zebra finch)
Lineage: Eukaryota; Metazoa; Chordata; Aves; Passeriformes; Estrildidae
Source: RefSeq, a predicted model, not a curated record